Molecule: long non-coding RNA, 3981 nt
Organism: Manis pentadactyla (Chinese pangolin)
Lineage: Eukaryota; Metazoa; Chordata; Mammalia; Pholidota; Manidae
Exons: 2
Source: RefSeq, a predicted model, not a curated record
CUUUUACCCUGACAAUUUUUUUUAUCUUUUAAAAAACUUUUCAUUUAUUUUUUCCAGUUUUAUUAAGAUACAAUUAACUCUUACCUUUUUCAUUUAUACCAUGUCAUUGAAUUGAAGCAUUUUCAGCAUUCCUUACUCCUUUUUUGUGCCCUCCCAUAUUCUAACUAUAAUUUAGAUGCCUUCUCAAGCUCUGCUUCCAGCAUUUGGGAUGCCAUCCUUGUCUCCGCUCUUGCCAGUUUUCUUCUGAAUUCUUCAGUGCUGGGUUUAACAAUGAAAGCUCAUGUUGAGCAUUACACACAGCAUGAGAGAAUUGCUGAAGAAUUUUCUUAGAAGCACAAUUCCUGGGCUCAUACACUUCACUCUCUUGCUGUUCCUUCUUUUCUCUUGUUUUAUCAUUUGUAGUUGAUUUGCUUCCCAAAGUAUUUCCAAUAUUCAAAUCUUCACCUUUUCCAGGCUCAGAAUUAGAACCACAGUCAUUCUCCACUUGUAAUAGGACAAAACAGGAAACAGUGGUGGGAACAGAACUAAGUGCCUCAGAGACCAUUGUAAAGGUUUUUCUUUUGAAAUACUUCUGUCAAGAAGAAGUCAUUCAUGAAUGAAAGCCAGAUUUCACCCAGAUGCUCAGUUAGAUGCUCCAAAAUGUAUUCUCCCAACAUACACAGAGAACAAUAUAGAGCCAGGUGAGACCUGACUCUGAGCAGAGUAGCAGCUUCUAAAACCUGUCGCUCAAGGGCCCUGUCGCUAGGUUUGCCCUGGCGGGUCUCCCUGCUGCAGCCGUGGCCCAAGUGCCAGGGUGUGGGGUCUGAUUCAGGUCCCCCAGGCUGAACCCUCAACAGCCGGUGGCAGAACAGAUACACUGCUUUAGGGACUCUGGAGCUGGCACCUGCCUACAGUGUUCUUUAUGACCCAGCCUUAGAAUUCACAUACUUUCAUUUCCAACUACAGGCUCAACAAGAUUCAAGAGGAGACACAAUUGGCUUUCUCUCCCCCUCAAAGCCAUAUUGAAAGAACAUGUGUGAGAUGGGGAGAUCUUGUGACUAUUUGGAAAAAAUAAGCAGCCACAACACUCUUGCCAGAAGCAAGUAUGUUUGAAAUAGUUUUUCUUCCCUUGAGUUUGGAUUUGGUCAUGUGACAUGCUUUGGCCGAGAAGCCAGCUUCCAUCUGGUGUUUCUUGCAACUCUUGUAUUAGAACCUCGAGCUAUAAUGUAAGAUGUCUAAAGCGACCAUGCUGGUUAAGAAGACCAGACUAGCCCCAUGGAAAGACCACAUGGGGAAACUCUGAUGUUACAUGAAAUAAGAGAGAUGUCCAGCCAGCUCCCAGUUGCUUCUGGAACUCCACACUGUUUCAGGUUCAGCUCUCAUGAAAAACCUGAGCCAGAGCUGUACAGCCAGUCUGUUUCUGAAUUCCUGACCCAGAGAAACCAUGGAAGAUAAUCAAUGAUAGCUAUUGUUUGAAACCAUUAAACUUGAGAGACCGAAUGUACAGACGAUUCCAGCUCAUACAUGACACAUGACAACAGAACUCUGACCCACAAACUCUGCAGCAACCAACUGGUUUUCAGGAAGGAAGCCAAGCUACAACCUUGGCAGCAAUCAGAUCACAACACCCAGGACUUGUUCGGUGACUGCCUGCUUCCCUGUUUUUUUUUGCCUCGGCUUCCAGUUCAGGACCAACCAGAGAAAGCCAUACCAAUCCCCAAAUCAGUCACAUAAAAUGCACUGCUCCUAGUUAAGCCCACCUCCGGUUUCUCUAUGCCAAUAACCUCCAAUCAGAGUAUGCCUGGAGAUGGCCCUUUUCCACUCCCAGUUUCCUGAAUGCCAUUGAGUCUCUGCCAAACACAAGUGACAGUGGCUGUAAUGCCAAUAAUUUGAAAGAACCCAACGGUGACAAGAGAAAGCAUUAAUUACAUCAAUGAUAUGUAAAGUCUGAAAAUAUUGCGGGAAGAACACUUAAUGUUCAACAUUUAUGUUAAAAGCGGCUUAGGAAGACAAAUAUUUAUAUGAAAUGAUACAAGCUUAAGUAUAGCUAUGUCUGAGUGGAGAAAUUACAGGUAUUGUUUAUUCCUGAUUAUGGACGGUGCGUGAAGGCUCCAGCGUUUUGGGGUUCUGACAUCACCUGCAGUGGCCAUGCCAUACCCCCGCCGUGCCUUGGGCACUGCUUUGGGCACACCCCCAGCCUUCACAGGGGCUUCUAGGAAAUGAGGUCCCCCUGCCAAGUGCCGGCAACUCUCUCUGCAUGGGCAGCACGGAUUGGGCCUUCUUGGCGAUGGGGCAAAUGGGCCGAGCAGAUCUUCUGCUGGGCUGCUAUCUGAGAAGGCACUGUGGCGGCCUGGAGCCUGAGAUCCACACAGACAACUGAAAAGUAAUUCUACAAUCAAUGUAAAAUGGUCUUCUAAGUAUAGACUUCCAAAUGGCUGAGUAUUUUGGUGUAAUAACAAAAUAUAUCAAGACCUUUCUUCACACUAUCAAGGUGUUUGUGGCGUGAGAUGCAUUCUUCCUGCCCUAAUAGAUCAUCCUGGAUAUAAGCACAAGAGACUUCUCUGAGCUCUUCCAUCUGAUUGCGAUGACUUGAAACUUUCAGAUCCUGCCACUGUUGAUGUUGCAGCUGCAUCCUCCUGCCAGUUCCUGGACGUGUCAUAGGAAUACAGAAAGAAAUAUCCAAGCUGGCCUGUGCAUACAGUAAAACAACAAAUCUGCCUGCUUCUGUAUUAUCUGAACUCAACCAGGAACUGGGAGAAGUACAAAUUGCAGUACUUCAAAAUUAUGCUACUAUAGACUAUCUAUUGUUAUAAGAACAUAUGGGAUGUGAACAGUUUCCAGGAAUAUGUUUCAGUUUGCCUGAUUUUUCUCAAAAUAUUCAAUAUCAAUUAGAUGAUAUCUGUCAUAUCGUCAAUAAGUUCUCACAAAUGCUUGAGUUAUCUAUGUAGUUUUCUUGGUUUCAUUAGAUAUGGCUGGUAAUUGUAAGUCUGCUUUUGUUGUGUAUCUGUAUUCCUGUUCUGUUAAUGUAUGUAUGCAAUUUAAUUCGUAGUUUGUUAAAAUCUAUACAUGCUUAUGUUACUCUACAAGAAAUCAUGUCAAAUAAUUUUCUCAUUCUCUUCCAUCUGCUACUUCUAUAGUUUUUUUCUUCCUUUCAAAAUACAGCUUUUUAUUAGAAUUCGUGCCUUAUACUUAAAAUUGCUGUGCAUCAUAAUCCUUUUUACUGGCAAAGAUGUCUUAAAGCAAGUGCUGGACAUAGGCCACGGGGCAUAAAUCUGUAAAGAAGUGGAAAACUAACCUUUUCAUAGAAUAUUGCUUCUCUCACCUACCAAAUUUACAUCUCCCUGCAUGGCCCUGGAAGAUGGCUGGUUAUCCAGAGACGGGUGAGAUUCCUCAAGGGAGGAACAACCUAAGACAGGCACAGUCACAGGGGGGCCAUCAGGUGAGAGAUUGGGAGCCAACAGAGUUGAGGCUAAGAACCUCACCCCCGCAGUUUUGAGAGAAAUCUGCACCUGUAAAUGUUUUAUUGUCCUUGCCCAGCUCAGAUCAACAUUCAAUCUAUAAGUAUAAACCUGUCACCUGCACUUACUUUCUAACUGCACUAAAUUUAUCUUUUAUCUUCAUUCUGCUUCAAGAAUGAAGUAAAUUCAAGAAAUAGACCCAUUAGAAAUUUUCUACUUAUUGUACUCAUAUCUAUGCACUAAAAGGUGAAAUGUAAGAUUGAUAGGAUUAAUACAUCAUUCAUGUAAUAUGGAAAUUAAAUGUAUAAGCACACAUGACUUGAUUGUUUUUCCCACACUGAUGUGUGAUCAAGGACUGAGUGAUGAGAACCAAAGCAGUUCUCAUGGCUCGGAGCCACCUUCACACACAAGGUUUUGGUAUCCUUGAGAAGCGUCGCUUCCUUGGGCUAGACUCAAGGCUGGAUAAGGAUGUUUGAGUUCACUGUAAGUUCAUUUGGUCAAUAAACAUGAGGAGUGCCUUUUCGGCAUUGCUCUUGAGCUGUUA